RNAcentral lists this ribosomal RNA (841 nucleotides) under uncultured Bacillota bacterium. RNAcentral describes it as "bacterial SSU rRNA". It matches the Rfam family "Bacterial small subunit ribosomal RNA", at positions 1 to 872 of the family's 1533-position model. Lineage: Bacteria; Bacillati; Bacillota. The record is from RNAcentral.
GCCCUUAGAGUUUGAUCCUGGCUCAGGAUGAACGCUGGCGGCGUGCCUAACACAUGCAAGUCGAGCGAUUUACUUCGGUAAAGAGCGGCGGACGGGUGAGUAACGCGUGGGUAACCUGCCCUAUACACACGGAUAACAUACCGAAAGGUAUGCUAAUACGAGAUAAUAUAAGAAAUUCGCAUGGAUUUCUUAUCAAAGCUUUUGCGGUAUAGGAUGGACCCGCGUCUGAUUAGCUAGUUGGUAAGGUAACGGCUUACCAAGGCGACGAUCAGUAGCCGACCUGAGAGGGUGAUCGGCCACAUUGGAACUGAGACACGGUCCAAACUCCUACGGGAGGCAGCAGUGGGGAAUAUUGCACAAUGGGCGAAAGCCUGAUGCAGCAACGCCGCGUGAGCGAUGAAGGCCUUCGGGUCGUAAAGCUCUGUCCUCAAGGAAGAUAAUGACGGUACUUGAGGAGGAAGCCCCGGCUAACUACGUGCCAGCAGCCGCGGUAAUACGUAGGGGGCUAGCGUUAUCCGGAAUUACUGGGCGUAAAGGGUGCGUAGGUGGUUUCUUAAGUCAGAGGUGAAAGGCUACGGCUCAACCGUAGUAAGCCUUUGAAACUGAGAAACUUGAGUGCAGGAGAGGAGAGUAGAAUUCCUAGUGUAGCGGUGAAAUGCGUAGAUAUUAGGAGGAAUACCAGUUGCGAAGGCGGCUCUCUGGACUGUAACUGACACUGAGGCACGAAAGCGUGGGGAGCAAACAGGAUUAGAUACCCUGGUAGUCCACGCCGUAAACGAUGAGUACUAGCUGUCGGAGGUUACCCCCUUCGGUGGCGCAGCUAACGCAUUAAGUACUCCGC